AACGCGUGGGUAACCUGCCCUGUACACACGGAUAACAUACCGAAAGGUAUGCUAAUACGAGAUAAUAUGCUUUUAUCGCAUGGUAGAAGUAUCAAAGCUUUUGCGGUACAGGAUGGACCCGCGUCUGAUUAGCUAGUUGGUAAGGUAACGGCUUACCAAGGCGACGAUCAGUAGCCGACCUGAGAGGGUGAUCGGCCACAUUGGAACUGAGACACGGUCCAAACUCCUACGGGAGGCAGCAGUGGGGAAUAUUGCACAAUGGGCGAAAGCCUGAUGCAGCAACGCCGCGUGAGCGAUGAAGGCCUUCGGGUCGUAAAGCUCUGUCCUCAAGGAAGAUAAUGACGGUACUUGAGGAGGAAGCCCCGGCUAACUACGUGCCAGCAGCCGCGGUAAUACGUAGGGGGCUAGCGUUAUCCGGAAUUACUGGGCGUAAAGGGUGCGUAGGUGGUUUCUUAAGUCAGAGGUGAAAGGCUACGGCUCAACCGUAGUAAGCCUUUGAAACUGGGAAACUUGAGUGCAGGAGAGGAGAGUGGAAUUCCUAGUGUAGCGGUGAAAUGCGUAGAUAUUAGGAGGAA
RNAcentral lists this ribosomal RNA (575 nucleotides) under uncultured Clostridium sp. RNAcentral describes it as "bacterial SSU rRNA". It matches the Rfam family "Bacterial small subunit ribosomal RNA", at positions 112 to 706 of the family's 1533-position model. The record is from RNAcentral. Lineage: Bacteria; Bacillati; Bacillota; Clostridia; Eubacteriales; Clostridiaceae.